RNAcentral lists this unclassified non-coding RNA (235 nucleotides) under Hevea brasiliensis (rubber tree). The record is from RNAcentral. Lineage: Eukaryota; Viridiplantae; Streptophyta; Magnoliopsida; Malpighiales; Euphorbiaceae.
GGGAAAGGUUUUAAUCAGCCUCCAAAGGAAUAGAGUUAUGAAAUAUUUUUCACUAUAUAUACAUGCAAAAUUUAAGGUAUGGUUCAAUUGUUUAAGUUGUUACCGUUCUGUUCUUUUGGAAUGAUGGCUAUUACAGUCAUCAUUUAUAAGACUCCAAAACGUACACUGCAAAGGGAAAUUUACAAGUUGGUCCUGGAGUUUUGUCCCAUAUUAUACUUUAAUAUCUGAAUUUUAA